AUUUGGCCUUCUCCAAACUUCAUUAAGUUUAACAUUCUAUUUAUAAAUAAAAGUCUUCAAGCAAUGUAAUAUUAUCAAUUGUAGUAUGUUGACUUAGAGAAAAAAUUGCACUAUAAAAAUUAAGAGUAUUUUCUAUUUGAAUUAAUAGUAACUUACAAUGUUUAAAAGAAGGGGCAGGAAAUUCUCUACCUUAUUGGUUGAGGUUGUAUCAAAUAGAUGGAUGAAAAAUGAUUAUAGAUCAAGCAACACUGUUUUCAAUCAAUAGAAUUACCUUCUAACUCUUCUUCUAUAUUAUUGGAUUUUUUCAAUAUAAGAGA
This 317-nucleotide long non-coding RNA is filed under the name Physcomitrium patens. Its description in RNAcentral is "long non-coding RNA (PPAT_LNC003729)". Lineage: Eukaryota; Viridiplantae; Streptophyta; Bryopsida; Funariales; Funariaceae. The record is from RNAcentral.